UCCUCCUCACGCUCUUCUUUCCACGCCCACUUUGCCAUAUAGUCCUCCAAAGGGUCCAGGUGGCAUGUCGGGGCGCUCUCUUGUCGGCAUUGGGACAGAAAACAAAAAGGGUGGUGAAGGAUAUACUGUACUCCAUUCCACAAUCUGCCGGGAGCCUGCAAUGCUUCCUUUGCCCACAGACCUGUGGUGCUGGUGCUGGUUGUUGUUCUUGUUGUUGAUGAUGUUUCCCUUUGAGAAAGAGAGUUGAGAAGUAAAUCCUCUCCAAAUCUUGGAAGUUCUCUGGCUUUUGGUGUGGUUGAGGGGACCUUGGUACGUCUCUUACACACACACACACACACACACACACACACACACACACACACACACACAUACACGCGCGCGUAAGAUGCUGCACUGCUUCACUCAGAGCUCACUGCCAUUUCAUCCGCCCGCUUCCUCGAAAGCACCGGGAAUGCCACCGGAUCUAGCAGAGACUCACUCAUGCUCACGUUUGGAUUUAACACCAACGUGCACUUGCCCGUCGUUGGAAGCUGCGGGAACGCGAAUAAUCAAUUAAGUAUUGAUUUCUUGUACGAUUUUGUAGAUUUCAAAGACAAAGCGGGUAGCUUAAGGAGCGCCGCGAGCACGAGGAGCCGCAAAUUAGCUAAUAAACACAGACGGGGGGGAGUAAACGAAGGCAAACGAACGAAGCGUCUGUCAUUGCGUUGAUAUGCUUGUUUUUUUUUUUUUUUGUGCCCCUCCAGAUGAAUUAACGGCAUGCGUGACGAGGGUUUCCUACGAAGAAGAUGCGAUGGCAAAUGGGUGCGCAAGGGUUAAAAGCAAGCGCUCCAGGAGGAGAGAGAGAGUGACUGAAGGACUGGGUAAUUAGGCGGACCGCAACUCACGCCUCAUCAGUAUGCGGAGUAUGCAAAUUAAACGUCUGCUUCUUUCUUUUUUGUGGAGGAUCAGAAGGCAAGCGCCGCAGAGAAGAAUUAAGAGCAAUUAUUCUCCCCCCUGGAAAGGCUGCUAUAUGCAAACAAGGGACGGAGAGCAGAGCUAUACAAUGGACCCCGAUGCUUCAUUUGUUUGAGGGCUUUCUAAUCCGGGGACCGAAACAACCUCAGUCCACCGUGCCCUCGUCAAUCACCGCUGGAAAAGAACGCGGUGGAGGUGAAGAAGGUGCAGCGAGGAGAGAAGAAGACUUGAGGGGGUCUCCAAAAGGAAAACGAUGGAUGCAAGGUGACCCAAUCCUGACACAACACCCACACACACCCGCGCGCACACACACUCGCAGGUGGGUAGGAAACACAAUUAUCAACAAGCACGUACACAUUCCCACAAGGGCACGUCGGAGCACUCAAAUAGCAACGCAACUCAAUCACAUAGGUGUGUUGAUCCCCAAAUGGGGAUUAUAAAGUGCUGAUGUUAGGAGUGAAAGAAAGACAGCUUUGCCAAAGCUUCCUCUUCAUUCUAACGCUGAUAACGCUAACAGUAUUGACAGUGGCUACAAGAAGUUAUCAUUUUUCUCUCGACUCUUCUGUUAUGUUGUCUUGAAAGACCGACGUUCAGACAAACGUGAACUCCCAUUGACCAUUUCUUGGAGCGAUGGGAAUCGCCAUCACUGAGGCCACAGGGAGCACUGCCAGAGAUACAUACAUUCUUGAUCUGUAGAAAAAUGCGAUCGGAUCCCGUUGAGUCCGUUGAACUUAACUCAUUUGAACGUUAUCGAGAGAGGGCUUUCAAAAAAAAACAACUGAAGCCAAAGCAAAAGUGCUGUACAGAGAGCUCAAACCAUAAACCAUAAAAUAAUGAUCAUGAUAAAGUGAAUACGAAAAGAAUCAAGACAAAAAAAUGUGCUUCAUUGAAUUGAAACCCAGUCGGUGACAUGUAAACACUGCCGCAUUGCAUUGGUGAGUGCAACAAACUUCUCAGGUUAAAGAUAUUUUGUUUUUGUUUCUUUUCUGUUUUUUUUUCCAUGUCCCUACUGUCUUGUCUGAUCCUGUGCGGAGCAAAAUGAAGUGAAGAAAUAGAUUUCCUGAUCAAACAUCACCAUUGUGAAAUAAAAAGGACAAAAGGGUUGGCACUGAUACAAACGGAGAAGAGCAAAAUGCUUUGUGUCCACGUCGGCAGGACUGAUCUGAUUUGGCCAUUGGAGAUGGGAUUUCCAGUGACUCCGUUUAUCCCCGCAAUGCUUGAGUGUGACCUUUGCCGCCUUACCCGUCCCUUCUGUGUGUGUGUGUGUGUGUGUGUGUGUGUGUGUGUGUGUGUGUGUGUGU
Long non-coding RNA from Hippocampus comes (tiger tail seahorse), 2255 nucleotides. RefSeq lists it as uncharacterized. The record is from RefSeq and is a predicted model, not a curated record. The transcript is spliced from 4 exons. NCBI's taxonomy places the organism in Eukaryota, Metazoa, Chordata, Actinopteri, Syngnathiformes, Syngnathidae.